This 520-nucleotide ribosomal RNA is filed under the name uncultured bacterium. RNAcentral's name for it is "bacterial SSU rRNA". It matches the Rfam family "Bacterial small subunit ribosomal RNA", at positions 15 to 518 of the family's 1533-position model. The record is from RNAcentral.
GAUCCUGGCUUAGAUUGAACGCUGGCGGCGUGCUUAACACAUGCAAGUCGCGCGUGAAAGGACUUCGGUCCGAGUAAAGCGGCGCACGGGUGAGUAACGCGUGGAUGAUCUACCCAUGAGUUAGGAAUAACGGCUGGAAACGGUCGCUAAUACCAAAUACGCUCCGAUUUCAACUUCGGGGGAAAGGUGGCCUCUGCCUGCAAGCUACUGCUCAUGGAUGAGUCCGCGUCCCAUUAGCUAGUUGGUGGGGUAACGGCCCACCAAGGCGACGAUGGGUAGCCGGUCUGAGAGGAUGACCGGCCACACUGGGACUGGAACACGGCCCAGACUCCUACGGGAGGCAGCAGUGGGGAAUAUUGCGCAAUGGGCGAAAGCCUGACGCAGCGACGCCGCGUGAGGGGAAUGAAGGUCCUCGGAUCGUAAACCUCUGUCAGGAGGGAAGAACCGCCACGGUGCUAAUCAGCCGUGGUCUGACGGUACCUCCAAAGGAAGCACCGGCUAACUCCGUGCCAGCCGCCGC